Phyllostomus discolor (pale spear-nosed bat) is the source of this 123-nucleotide long non-coding RNA. RefSeq lists it as uncharacterized. The transcript has 3 exons. Lineage: Eukaryota; Metazoa; Chordata; Mammalia; Chiroptera; Phyllostomidae. The record is from RefSeq and is a predicted model, not a curated record.
CACGUGGUAGAGAACAUAUUGUAUUUAAAAUGUUAAAUUAUCUGAAAAAUAAAAUGUGCAAGCCUUUAGGAUGGCAUGAAAAUAACAAAGGUUAAUGCUUCUUGGGCAACAUUCUCAGAGAGA